UUCUUAUUUUAAAAAAUAAAUAAUGAAAAUAAGGAACUUUUGUCUGUGGUCCUGAAUGAAAACAAGGUGUCCAGUGUUUUAUAGAAUAUUUUAAAA
Thalassophryne amazonica is the source of this 96-nucleotide long non-coding RNA. RefSeq lists it as uncharacterized. Lineage: Eukaryota; Metazoa; Chordata; Actinopteri; Batrachoidiformes; Batrachoididae. The transcript has 3 exons. The record is from RefSeq and is a predicted model, not a curated record.